GCUCUUUUGUCUCAAUGGGCAGAGACUGAAAGCAACCGCGGCUGCCCGGAGGUCCGAACUGGAGGGUGGCCGCAGCCGUGACUUCCUUGGGAACCGCGCUGCCUCGACUCGGCUACCUCUCUGCGAAGCACUCGCUAAGCCGGGCAGCCCCGGGGUCGCUUAGCGGCCCAGGAGGCGCCAGCGAUCCUGUUCCCCUGCAGAGCUAUGGGGACCGGAAGGCGAAACAGAGCUGUCGACGCGGGAGCAUACGCUGCCCACCAGUGGAGCGCAGGUCAUCAAAGCCGAAUCCGAAUUUGAAUUCUGUGCGGCUGAUUGCAGAGCUGUCUUGAGGCCCUGAGGACUGGGAUCUGCGACCCCCAGUGGACAAAAGUCGACUCUACCCCAGAGGCUAAUUUUCUCAAGGCAGGCACCUGUUGAGAGGCUGCAAGUAAAAUACAGGGGAACGCUAGUUUCCGAGCUCAUGUAAGAAUCUGAGAAAUAACGGGGGUAAACUUUGACAAAGGGGUGUGUGAUUGAGACCUGAGGUCAUGAGAUUAAUGGGUUCUUAUUACCUCUUGCGGGGGGAGGUAGUAAAGGGGAGGGGCAGGUGGCCUGUGGCGUCCUGAAGAUUUUUCAUGCAUUCUUUUUCCGAGAACUAAACAUUGUCAACUCUAAUAUAUCUAUAGCGCAACUUGCUUCAAGGACAGUAAUAAUUUUCAUUUAAUAAUUUUCCAUUUAAUCCCUUUACUACAUGGUCAUUUCUGUCUCUUAUAUUCCUAGGUUUCCC
RNAcentral lists this long non-coding RNA (766 nucleotides) under Homo sapiens (human). RNAcentral's name for it is "non-protein coding TMSB15B-AS1:14". The record is from RNAcentral. Lineage: Eukaryota; Metazoa; Chordata; Mammalia; Primates; Hominidae.